CUUCCCUGAAGGAUCCAGCACCCACUGAAGUCAAGAGGAAUCAACUUUCAAAGAGUGCUAGACCAACCUCUAAAUGCCAAAAGACGAGUGGUCAUGGCAGCUGGCACAGCAUCAUCAUGAGAAGCCAAAUCAUUUUCUGCAGAUGGAUAAGUAAUUGGAAGCUGGAAAAUAGCCACACUGUAGGAGCCACAAACUUACUUCACAGAUCAUCGAAUCAUUGCCAGCAGUAGCAAAAAUCAUCAGUGCUCAGUGCAUUUCCCACCCAGAGAUGUUCUGGCAGGUAAAUCUUGUCUACACUGGGAAAUUUAUAAGAUUAACACAAG
Molecule: long non-coding RNA, 323 nt
Organism: Trachemys scripta elegans
Lineage: Eukaryota; Metazoa; Chordata; Testudines; Emydidae
Exons: 3
Source: RefSeq, a predicted model, not a curated record